Molecule: long non-coding RNA, 773 nt
Filed under: Rattus norvegicus (Norway rat)
Lineage: Eukaryota; Metazoa; Chordata; Mammalia; Rodentia; Muridae
Description: long non-coding RNA NONRATT010867
Source: RNAcentral
UUUCCUCUCUUUAGCCAUGCUGGUCUCUGCUGGACACCCCCUUUCCUUUGAGGUGGACAGGACCUGUAGCUUCUCUCCUAAGGCCAUUGAUGACCCACUUUGCUCAGACACCUCUCUAAAGGGAGAAGGACUCCUAAUGCUGCAUACAGUUGAACGAGGACCUCCCAGGCAACUGGCUUCCCACACCCCUUCCCAUUACCAGCAUCUCGAACAGUUUCUCACUUCCCCUCUUCUCUGCCAGGUGCCUACACACACAUUCACAAUUCAGUUCGAGCCUUGUUCCUUCGCCCUCUGGUCAUGCCUCAGAUAAAUGCCCAUUUAAGCAUCAUCUUCCCUUGUGAAGAAGACGGUUGGACCACCUUCAGGUUCAGCAAAGUAAAGGGAAGAAUUGUCUUGGAAACUCCCAAAACAAUUCACUCUCUAGUCUUCGACCCGGAGCCCAGGGAAGACCGGGUUGAGGUUCAGGUGUUCUGACAUCAUCCUUAAUGUGUGUGUGUUAUUGUUACGUCAUAUUAACAAUAGCAACAGCUCCCAUUUAACUUCUGCGUGCUAAAUGUUUUACGUGCAUGUCUAAAGUGGCACCAUGAUGUGAGCAUUAUCCCUGUUAUAGAAAUAAGUCUAAGCCCAGUAAUUUGUUCAGGGUUUCAGGGUUGUAGGAUUGUGAGCCCAGGAAGUCCCACAGUCUGUGUGUAACCGUGGUGGUUUGUAUUCUUUUUCCUUGAAGAACAAAAUUAAAAACUUUGCUAUAUAUCUAUCAUUUACGGUGGGGAAAG